Molecule: ribosomal RNA, 496 nt
Filed under: uncultured bacterium
Lineage: Bacteria
Description: bacterial SSU rRNA
Rfam family: Bacterial small subunit ribosomal RNA
Source: RNAcentral
CCUGGCUCAGGAUGAACGCUAGCGGCAGGCUUAACACAUGCAAGUCGUGGGGCAGCGCGAGGUAGCAAUACUUUGGCGGCGACCGGCAAACGGGUGCGGAACACGUACGCAACCUUCCUCAGAGCGGGGAAUAGCCUCUCGAAAGAGAGAUUAAUACCCCAUAGUAUCUUGGAUUCACAUGGAUCUGAGAUUAAAGCUCCGGCACUUUGAGAUGGGCGUGCGGCUGAUUAGGUAGUUGGUAGGGUAACGGCCUACCAAGCCAACGAUCAGUAGCUGAUGUGAGAGCAUGAUCAGCCACACGGGCACUGAGACACGGGCCCGACUCCUACGGGAGGCAGCAGUGAGGAAUAUUGGUCAAUGGAGGCAACUCUGAACCAGCCAUGCCGCGUGAAGGAUGAAGGUCCUCUGGAUUGUAAACUUCUUUUAUAGAAGAAGAAACCCCAUUUUUCUAAGUGGGUUGACGGUACUCUAUGAAUAAGCACCGGCUAACUCCGUG